This 506-nucleotide ribosomal RNA is filed under the name uncultured bacterium. Its description in RNAcentral is "partial 16S ribosomal RNA". It matches the Rfam family "Bacterial small subunit ribosomal RNA", at positions 30 to 523 of the family's 1533-position model. The record is from RNAcentral.
AUUGAACGCUGGCGGCAGGCCUAACACAUGCAAGUCGAGCGGCAGCGGAAAGUAGCUUGCUACUUUGCCGGCGAGCGGCGGACGGGUGAGUAAUGUCUGGGAAACUGCCUGAUGGAGGGGGAUAACUACUGGAAACGGUAGCUAAUACCGCAUAACGUCGCAAGACCAAAGAGGGGGACCUUCGGGCCUCUUGCCAUCAGAUGUGCCCAGAUGGGAUUAGCUAGUAGGUGGGGUAACGGCUCACCUAGGCGACGAUCCCUAGCUGGUCUGAGAGGAUGAACAGCCACACUGGAACUGAGACACGGUUCAGACUCCUACGGGAGGCAGCAGUGGGGAAUAUUGCACAAUGGGCGCAAGCCUGAGGCAGCCAUGCCGCGUGUAUGAAGAAGGCCUUAGGGUUGUAAAGUACUUUCAGCGGGGAGGAAGGUGUUGAGGUUAAUAACCUCAGCAAUUGACGUUACCCGCAGAAGAAGCACCGGCUAACUCCGUGCCAGCCGCCGCGGUAA